ACGGGUGAGUAAUGUCUGGGAAACUGCCUGAUGGAGGGGGAUAACUACUGGAAACGGUAGCUAAUACCGCAUAACGUCGCAAGACCAAAGAGGGGGACCUUCGGGCCUCUUGCCAUCAGAUGUGCCCAGAUGGGAUUAGCUAGUAGGUGGGGUAACGGCUCACCUAGGCGACGAUCCCUAGCUGGUCUGAGAGGAUGACCAGCCACACUGGAACUGAGACACGGUCCAGACUCCUACGGGAGGCAGCAGUGGGGAAUAUUGCACAAUGGGCGCAAGCCUGAUGCAGCCAUGCCGCGUGUGUGAAGAAGGCCUUCGGGUUGUAAAGCACUUUCAGCGGGGAGGAAGGGGGUAAGGUUAAUAACCUUAUUCAUUGACGUUACCCGCAGAAGAAGCACCGGCUAACUCCGUGCCAGCAGCCGCGGUAAUACGGAGGGUGCAAGCGUUAAUCGGAAUUACUGGGCGUAAAGCGCACGCAGGCGGUCUGUCAAGUCGGAUGUGAAAUCCCCGGGCUCAACCUGGGAACUGCAUUCGAAACUGGCAGGCUAGAGUCUUGUAGAGGGGGGUAGAAUUCCAGGUGUAGCGG
This 583-nucleotide ribosomal RNA is filed under the name uncultured bacterium. RNAcentral's name for it is "bacterial SSU rRNA". It matches the Rfam family "Bacterial small subunit ribosomal RNA", at positions 102 to 681 of the family's 1533-position model. The record is from RNAcentral.